Molecule: unclassified non-coding RNA, 938 nt
Filed under: Hevea brasiliensis (rubber tree)
Lineage: Eukaryota; Viridiplantae; Streptophyta; Magnoliopsida; Malpighiales; Euphorbiaceae
Source: RNAcentral
AUCAUCUUCCAUAUAUACACAAACACGUGUUCAUAUAAAUAUAUAUCAUUCUCGGCUAUCCUCAUCCUGAUCGUAUUUGAUAGCCACCCAUAACUGAAUUCAUCUCUUUCUCAUCAAAGGAAUAUAUUUUUCCAUAUCCACCAAGCUCCGUGUCAACCACCACCACCAUAACUCUUGCCGCAACCAUACAAGGGAACAACCAACUUAGCGUCGCUGUCUAUAUGGAGAAACACUGGCUAAUCAUCCUAUAAGAUCAUGUUUAUGUUUUUAUUUAUCUCGCCAUCAUCUUGCUUAUGCAGUUUUAUUAUUAUUUUCUUUUAAUCUUUAAUUCAUAUUUAGGUAUUGCAGCAACUACUACAGUGAAUUCUCGGAGUCAGUUGAGCUGUGUGAUUGGUGCCAGAGCGAAGAGAAGAACGCCAGAAAUGGAAACUCUUCGAAGAAAUCAGCAGCCGGACAUGAUAGUGGAGGAGUUACUAACCGAUCGGAGUACUCAGGUGACAAAAUCAAGCAACAUGAUCGUGAAGAGAGCACCGCCGAGAAGGGAAAGAGCUCGAGUGGUGUGCCUUCUCCAAGAACAGCUACUCGCAGGUACAAGCUUCUCAAGGAUGUGAUGUGUUAAAACGUUAACGGGGGAGUUGGUGUCAAAACCUUUUCUUGGGUGUUCAUAGUAGCAAAUACUAAUUAUAUAAGCUGUUUCUUUUGGUGUUUUCUUUUGAGUUAUGGAUGCGGUUUGUUCAUGCUAUGUUUUGAUCAGUUAGUUGUUAAUAAAAUAAUGCGACUUUUUUCAAUACGAUCGGUGGCACAAGCUCUGAAGCUUGUAAUUUUUCCAGAAUUUCAGAAUUCCUUCGUAAAUUACUGUUGUAAUUUACUUCUGUUAUAUUUUGGCCUCUCAUAGUAAGGAUUUUACUAGAUAUAUAGGUUUCGUGCCAGAAAAAUGG